CCCUGGUGGCUCAGAUGGUAAAGAAUCUGCCUGCAAUGCAGGAGACCCAGGUUCAAUGCCUGGACUGGGGA
This 71-nucleotide transfer RNA is filed under the name Bos taurus (domestic cattle). It matches the Rfam family "tRNA". From Rfam's summary of the family: Transfer RNA (tRNA) molecules are approximately 80 nucleotides in length. Their secondary structure includes four short double-helical elements and three loops (D, anti-codon, and T loops). RNAcentral also lists the same sequence under 2 other names. The record is from Rfam by way of RNAcentral. Lineage: Eukaryota; Metazoa; Chordata; Mammalia; Artiodactyla; Bovidae.